AAGAAAACCUGGCUUUAUAGGAAACCUCCAUAUAUUGUUCCUCUAUCUCUCUAUAUAUACAUCUUCAUCGUUUCAUCAAUAUCCAGUUCUUCUUCUUCUUUUCUAGGCAUUGAUAUUACUCCACCCAUAAUCUCCUUUCAGCUUAAAAAUUCAAGGAUGAAUAAUCACAACUAGCCUUCAGCAGCUGCAUAUCCACCACCGCCGACAUCCAGGAUGCCGGAACCCUACGUGACGGCACCACCAGUGGUUAUCCGAUGAGUAAAGACGAGUCCCAAGCCUGGUGCGGUGGAACCAAGUCCAGAGGAUGGAUUCUGGAAGGGAUGUUGUGCAGCCCUGUGUUGCUGUUGUCUUCUGGAUGCAGCUUUUGAAGCGUUCUUGUAUGAUAUCAACACUUUUGUUUGUUUGAGAAU
Long non-coding RNA from Hibiscus syriacus, 410 nucleotides. RefSeq lists it as uncharacterized. The record is from RefSeq and is a predicted model, not a curated record. The transcript has 3 exons. Lineage: Eukaryota; Viridiplantae; Streptophyta; Magnoliopsida; Malvales; Malvaceae.